This 318-nucleotide ribosomal RNA is filed under the name Triticum aestivum (bread wheat). RNAcentral's name for it is "partial small subunit ribosomal RNA". Lineage: Eukaryota; Viridiplantae; Streptophyta; Magnoliopsida; Poales; Poaceae. The record is from RNAcentral.
AUGCUGAUGAUACCUAGUGUGCUCAUGCGCAAAUGUUUGCUCAAGUUCAUUAUUAAAUCGUAUUCGUUGGACAGAAAAAGGUUCAUCAUGCCAUCAAAAAAUGGUGCGAUAUCAUUGCGCACCGAAGAUGUGUUUGACAUUUUCGGGCUACAGAACAAGGGCAAAGAUGCCAUGAAAGCGCUAGGAAAAGGGGGGUUAAAGGCGAAGGUGGAGGUGCCUAGUCGCUUUUUAGAUUCCAAUAUGGGGGAAAUGAUGACAGACGACCUGAUUGAGAACAUUGUUGCCAGUGGCACAUACGAUGAUGAUUUCCUCCGUUGA